GCCGGAGACGCUUCUGGAAGCACCAGCGCCAUGGCUGCCCAGGGAGAGCCCCAAGUCCAGUUCAAACUGGUGCUGGUUGGCGACGGUGGCACCAGGAAGACGACGUUCGUGAAGCGUCACCUGACGGGUGAAUUUGAGAAGAAGUAUGUAGCCACCUUGGGCGUGGAGGUCCACCCGCUCGUGUUCCACACGAACAGGGGACCCAUCAAGUUCAACGUGUGGGACACGGCCGGCCAGGAGAAGUUCGGCGGGCUGCGGGAUGGCUACUACAUCCAGGCCCAGUGUGCCAUUAUAAUGUUUGAUGUCACAUCAAGGGUUACUUACAAGAAUGUGCCUAACUGGCAUAGAGAUCUGGUACGAGUGUGUGAGAACAUCCCUAUUGUGCUGUGUGGCAACAAAGUGGACAUUAAGGACAGGAAAGUUAAGGCAAAAUCUAUUGUCUUCCACCGAAAGAAGAAUCUUCAGUACUAUGACAUUUCUGCCAAAAGUAACUACAACUUUGAAAAGCCCUUCCUGUGGCUUGCUAGAAAACUAAUUGGAGACCCUAAAUUGGAGUUUGUCGCCAUGCCCGCUCUUGCCCCACCAGAGGUUGUCAUGGACCCAGCUUUGGCAGCACAGUAGGAGCAUAAUCUAGAGGUUGCUCAGACAACUGCUCUCCCAGAUGAAGAUGAUGACCUGUGA
Molecule: RNA transcript, 681 nt
Organism: Odobenus rosmarus divergens (Pacific walrus)
Lineage: Eukaryota; Metazoa; Chordata; Mammalia; Carnivora; Odobenidae
Gene name: GTP-binding nuclear protein Ran-like
Exons: 1
Source: RefSeq, a predicted model, not a curated record